This is a long non-coding RNA of Oncorhynchus tshawytscha (Chinook salmon), 325 nucleotides long. The record is from Ensembl. NCBI's taxonomy places the organism in Eukaryota, Metazoa, Chordata, Actinopteri, Salmoniformes, Salmonidae.
ACGAUAUCAGCCAACAGCCCUACAGGUAACACACACACACACACACACCAGUACGAUAUCAGCCAACAGCCCUACAGGUAACACACACACACCAGUACUAUAUCAGCCAACAGCCCUACAGGUAACACACACACACACACACACCAGUACUAUAUCAGCCAACAGCCCUACAGGUAACACACACACACACACCAGUACUAUAUCAGCCAACAGCCCUACAGGUAACACACACACACACACACACACCAGUACUAUAUCAGCCAACAGCCCUACAGGUAACACACACACACACCAGUACUAUAUCAGCCAACAGCCCUACAGGUAA